This 173-nucleotide long non-coding RNA is filed under the name Coturnix japonica (Japanese quail). RNAcentral describes it as "lncRNA (ENSCJPG00005017538.1)". Lineage: Eukaryota; Metazoa; Chordata; Aves; Galliformes; Phasianidae. The record is from RNAcentral.
CCUUAGCUGUAUCCAUGCAAGAUCCUGCACUGUACUGCCAAGGCUGUUGUUUCAACUAAUGCUGGUGGCAGGUCUGAGUUGAAGCACUGUGCAGCAGACAGCUGCACAUCACCUGUCCUCUUGCAAAGAAGAUGCAAGAAAUAUGGUAUGCACUGAGCAAAUAUGAGAAAAUU